GACGAACGCUGGCGGCGUGCCUAAUACAUGCAAGUCGAACGCACAGUCUAUACCGUAGCUUGCUACACCAUAGACUGUGAGUUGCGAACGGGUGAGUAACGCGUAGGUAACCUGCCUGGUAGCGGGGGGUAACUAUUGGAAACGAUAGCUAAUACCGCCUAAUACUAAUUAUUGCAUGGUAAUUAUUUGAAAGGUGCAAUUGCACCACUACCAGAUGGACCUUCGUUGUAUUAGCUAGUAGGUGAGGUAACGGCUCACCUCGGCGGGGAUACAGAGCCCACAGGAGAGGGUGGGCGGCCAGACUGGGAGGGAGACACGGCACAUACUCCCUCAGGAGGCAGCAGGAGGGAAUCUGGGGCAAGGGACGGAAGUCUGUCCGAGCAACGCCGCGGGAGUGAAGAAGGUUUUCGGGUCGUAAAGCUCUGUUGUAAGAGAAGAACGGGUGUGAGAGUGGAAAGUUCACUCUGUGACGGUAACUUACAAGAAAGCAGCGGCUAACUACGUG
RNAcentral lists this ribosomal RNA (505 nucleotides) under uncultured bacterium. RNAcentral describes it as "partial 16S ribosomal RNA". It matches the Rfam family "Bacterial small subunit ribosomal RNA", at positions 28 to 507 of the family's 1533-position model. The record is from RNAcentral.